CGGGACGUGGCUCAAUUGGUAGAGCACCCGCCUGAUAAGCGGGAGGCUGGUGGUUCGAUUCCACCCGUUCCGA
Molecule: transfer RNA, 73 nt
Filed under: Archangium sp.
Lineage: Bacteria; Pseudomonadati; Myxococcota; Myxococcia; Myxococcales; Archangiaceae
Description: tRNA-Ile
Rfam family: tRNA
About the family: Transfer RNA (tRNA) molecules are approximately 80 nucleotides in length. Their secondary structure includes four short double-helical elements and three loops (D, anti-codon, and T loops).
Source: RNAcentral